UGCUUUCCAAAAAGAAAGGACUGGUGCUCUCUUCCCUUUGAAGUCAAGAAAUAAAGUAGCUGGUACAGAAAUAAACCUGCGUGGCAAUUAGGUGAAGUACUGCCCUUGAAAUGAGGAAAGUGGAAGAUGCAUAUUUUAUAUAGGGGGGAAAAAAAAACAGGAGUCAUUUCACAGCAAUGGAAAGAUAGGAGAAGGAAAUGCUGGAAAAGCUGUUCCCAGUACAGACAAAAGCAUUUGAAAGUGCCAAAGACUACAAGCUUUUUCAGUAAAUACAUAUCUAUGUGAACAAGAUGCAUGAAAGUUGUUCAGUUUAAGAUAUUUUCUUGCCUUUUCUACAUUAUUCCUCUCAAAGUUCUUUGAGAUUAAAUUCCUUGGUUUCCUGUGAGAGUCCAGAAGGGAAAAAACAAACAAAUGGUAUGAAAUGUAAGUCGCAGUACAAACUUUCUUUCAGGACAAUGAUCUGAUUUUAAUUUUGCUCAUAGCCUUCAAUGUAACAUCUAAUUAAGACAUCUGUUAAAUGCCUAUGAUAUUAAAUUAAUAGGGGGAAGCUAAUAGAACUUUAUUGGCAUAGUCCAGCUAAUUAACAUUUAAUGGCCGUCUUAAAUAGAAAUCAUUAAUGGAAGUGCCAUACAACUGGAAUGAAGCACAAUCAUGUUUCAUUGUGCUGUGAAGGACAUACAUUCUACCAUAUGCAUGCACAGAUGAACAUGAUACAACUUCCUGUAGCUACUGGUCCCCUCCCCUCUUUUUUUAAGCACUGUUUCAGUGACCAAAAAAAACCCAACCAGCCCCGGAACACGGCCUAGCGGUCUUUUUCCGUAAGUAAUGGCAAGGCUUUCAUUUUUUACCGUGACUAGAGCUGAAGAGAUGUUCAGAAGUCUCAAGGCAGUCGCGUGCUAGCGGCACACAAAGACAGAUGACAAACAGACUAACAAGGGAUAUGAACAGCCAGAGCAUUUGAGAAGCCUUUACUGCAGUUGCUGAUAUGAAAGUACUACAGAAGUUUCCUCACCUCAUGGCUAUCCUUUUCAACACCCAGAUCAACACAUUUUGCUUUGGUACCAGAAGAUGGAGCCACGUACUCACAUUUUCACAAAAGAGAAAUGGAAACCCCAGACAGAAAUAUGGGAUUUCUAUUGAAGAUAUGCAUCUAAACAAGACAGCCAGCUGAAGAAACCUUCAGGAGGAAGCAGAAGAGGCCACGCUGUUGACAAGACCAUUGUGUCUGCAAGGCAGAAGGGAACUCAGACUCCUUUGUAAGGAGACCAAACAUAUCACUUAAUAAAAA
RNAcentral lists this long non-coding RNA (1288 nucleotides) under Struthio camelus australis. Its description in RNAcentral is "lncRNA (ENSSCUG00000011918.1)". Lineage: Eukaryota; Metazoa; Chordata; Aves; Struthioniformes; Struthionidae. The record is from RNAcentral.